This 360-nucleotide RNase P RNA is filed under the name human gut metagenome. Its description in RNAcentral is "Bacterial RNase P class A". It matches the Rfam family "Bacterial RNase P class A". From Rfam's summary of the family: Ribonuclease P (RNase P) is a ubiquitous endoribonuclease, found in archaea, bacteria and eukarya as well as chloroplasts and mitochondria. The record is from RNAcentral.
GGCUUGACGGCUGCGCACAGCAAUGUGUGAGGAAAGUCCGAGCUCCGCAGGACAGAAUAACGGCUAACGGCCGCCGAGGGUAACCUCAGGGAAAGUGCAACAGAGAUAUACCGCCGCAAAAGGCUUUGGCUUUGCCAUUGACGACGCUUUCGCGCCGCCCGUUUGCGGUAAGGGUGGAAAGGCGAGGUAAGAGCUCACCACUUCUUCAGGUAACUGCGGAAGUCUGUAAACCCUAUUCGGAGCAACACUGACGAGGACUAUACGCUUGUCCGGCGUGUCCUGAUAAGUGGCUGGAGCUGCACAGUAAUGUGCAGUCGAGAUAGAUAGUCGUCCCAAUGACAGAACUCGGCUUACUGCCUG